RNAcentral lists this ribosomal RNA (776 nucleotides) under Virgibacillus sp. RNAcentral describes it as "bacterial SSU rRNA". It matches the Rfam family "Bacterial small subunit ribosomal RNA", at positions 40 to 803 of the family's 1533-position model. The record is from RNAcentral. Lineage: Bacteria; Bacillati; Bacillota; Bacilli; Caryophanales; Bacillaceae.
UCGAGCGCGGGAAGCAGGCAGAUCCUCUUCGGAGGUGACGCUUGUGGAACGAGCGGCGGACGGGUGAGUAACACGUGGGCAACCUGCCUGUAAGAUUGGGAUAACCCCGGGAAACCGGGGCUAAUACCGGAUAAUACUUUUCGUUGCAUAACGAGAAGUUGAAAGGCGGCUUUUAGCUGUCACUUACAGAUGGGCCCGCGGCGCAUUAGCUAGUUGGUAAGGUAACGGCUUACCAAGGCGACGAUGCGUAGCCGACCUGAGAGGGUGAUCGGCCACACUGGGACUGAGACACGGCCCAGACUCCUACGGGAGGCAGCAGUAGGGAAUCUUCCGCAAUGGACGAAAGUCUGACGGAGCAACGCCGCGUGAGUGAUGAAGGUUUUCGGAUCGUAAAACUCUGUUGUCAGGGAAGAACAAGUGCCGUUCAAAUAGGGCGGCACCUUGACGGUACCUGACCAGAAAGCCCCGGCUAACUACGUGCCAGCAGCCGCGGUAAUACGUAGGGGGCAAGCGUUGUCCGGAAUUAUUGGGCGUAAAGCGCGCGCAGGCGGUCCUUUAAGUCUGAUGUGAAAGCCCACGGCUUAACCGUGGAGGGCCAUUGGAAACUGGAGGACUUGAGUACAGAAGAGGAGAGUGGAAUUCCACGUGUAGCGGUGAAAUGCGUAGAGAUGUGGAGGAACACCAGUGGCGAAGGCGACUCUCUGGUCUGUAACUGACGCUGAGGUGCGAAAGCGUGGGGAGCGAACAGGAUUAGAUACCCUGGUAGUCCACGCCGU